This 637-nucleotide ribosomal RNA is filed under the name uncultured Rothia sp. RNAcentral describes it as "bacterial SSU rRNA". It matches the Rfam family "Bacterial small subunit ribosomal RNA", at positions 870 to 1504 of the family's 1533-position model. Lineage: Bacteria; Bacillati; Actinomycetota; Actinomycetes; Micrococcales; Micrococcaceae. The record is from RNAcentral.
CGCCUGGGGAGUGCGGCCGCAAGGCUAAAACUCAAAGAAAUUGACGGGGGCCCGCACAAGCGGCGGAGCAUGCGGAUUAAUUCGAUGCAACGCGAAGAACCUUACCAAGGCUUGACAUAUACUGGACCGCAUCAGAGAUGGUGUUUCCCUUCGGGGCUGGUAUACAGGUGGUGCAUGGUUGUCGUCAGCUCGUGUCGUGAGAUGUUGGGUUAAGUCCCGCAACGAGCGCAACCCUCGUUCUAUGUUGCCAGCACGUUAUGGUGGGGACUCAUAGGAGACUGCCGGGGUCAACUCGGAGGAAGGUGGGGAUGACGUCAAAUCAUCAUGCCCCUUAUGUCUUGGGCUUCACGCAUGCUACAAUGGCCGGUACAGAGGGUUGCGAUACUGUGAGGUGGAGCUAAUCCCUAAAAGCCGGUCUCAGUUCGGAUUGGGGUCUGCAACUCGACCCCAUGAAGUCGGAGUCGCUAGUAAUCGCAGAUCAGCAACGCUGCGGUGAAUACGUUCCCGGGCCUUGUACACACCGCCCGUCAAGUCACGAAAGUUGGUAACACCCAAAGCCGGUGGCCUAACCCUUUUGGGAGGGAGCCGUCUAAGGUGGGAUUGGCGAUUGGGACUAAGUCGUAACAAGGUAACCGUA